UAGAGUUUGAUCCUGGCUCAGGACGAACGCUGGCGGCGUGCUUAACACAUGCAAGUCGAACGAAGAGCGAUGGAAGCUUGCUUCUAUCAAUCUUAGUGGCGAACGGGUGAGUAACGCGUAAUCAACCUGCCCUUCAGAGGGGGACAACAGUUGGAAACGACUGCUAAUACCGCAUACGAUCCAACCUCGGCAUCGAGGAUGGAUGAAAGGUGGCCUCUAUUUAUAAGCUAUCACUGAAGGAGGGGAUUGCGUCUGAUUAGCUAGUUGGAGGGGUAACGGCCCACCAAGGCAAUGAUCAGUAGCCGGUCUGAGAGGAUGAACGGCCACAUUGGGACUGAGACACGGCCCAGACUCCUACGGGAGGCAGCAGCGGGGAAUCUUCCGCAAUGGGACGAAAGUCUGACGGAGCAACGCCGCGUGAGUGAUGACGGCCUUCGGGUUGUAAAGCUCUGUUAAUCGGGACGAAAGGUCUUCUUGCGAAUAGUUAGAAGAAUUGACGGUACCGGAAUAGAAAGCCACG
This 520-nucleotide ribosomal RNA is filed under the name uncultured bacterium. RNAcentral describes it as "bacterial SSU rRNA". It matches the Rfam family "Bacterial small subunit ribosomal RNA", at positions 1 to 495 of the family's 1533-position model. The record is from RNAcentral.